GCCUGGGUGGCUCAGUGGGUUUGGCAUCUGACUUCGGCUCAGGUCAUGAUCUCACAGUUUGUGGGUUCAAGUCCCGUGUCAGGCU
RNAcentral lists this transfer RNA (85 nucleotides) under Felis catus (domestic cat). It matches the Rfam family "tRNA". From Rfam's summary of the family: Transfer RNA (tRNA) molecules are approximately 80 nucleotides in length. Their secondary structure includes four short double-helical elements and three loops (D, anti-codon, and T loops). The record is from Rfam by way of RNAcentral. Lineage: Eukaryota; Metazoa; Chordata; Mammalia; Carnivora; Felidae. RNAcentral also lists the same sequence under 2 other names.